This 468-nucleotide ribosomal RNA is filed under the name uncultured bacterium. RNAcentral's name for it is "partial 16S ribosomal RNA". It matches the Rfam family "Bacterial small subunit ribosomal RNA", at positions 28 to 507 of the family's 1533-position model. The record is from RNAcentral.
GACGAACGCUGGCGGCGUGCUUAACACAUGCAAGUCGAACGGAAAGACCCUGCUUUUGUGGGGUGCUCGAGUGGCGAACGGGUGAGUAACACGUGAGUAACCUGCCCUUGACUUUGGGAUAACUUCAGGAAACUGGGGCUAAUACCGGAUAGGAGCUCCUGCUGCAUGGUGGGGGUUGGAAAGUUUCGGCGGUUGGGGAUGGACUCGCGGCUUAUCAGCUUGUUGGUGGGGUAGUGGCUUACCAAGGCUUUGACGGGUAGCCGGCCUGAGAGGGUGACCGGCCACAUUGGGACUGAGAUACGGCCCAGACUCCUACGGGAGGCAGCAGUGGGGAAUAUUGCACAAUGGGCGGAAGCCUGAUGCAGCAACGCCGUGUGCGGGAUGACGGCCUUCGGGUUGUAAACCGCUUUCGCCUGUGACGAAGCGUGAGUGACGGUAAUGGGUAAAGAAGCACCGGCUAACUACGUG